This is a non-coding RNA of Heterocephalus glaber (naked mole-rat), 6529 nucleotides long. The record is from RefSeq and is a predicted model, not a curated record. Lineage: Eukaryota; Metazoa; Chordata; Mammalia; Rodentia; Bathyergidae.
AAAUAAAUCUUUCCUCCCUUAACUUUGAGUGUCAGGUGUUUUAUCCAAGCAAGAGAAAAGUAACUUAAUACAGAAUUUAAUACCACAAGUGAGGUCAUUGCUGUGACUGUACCUGAUCAUGUGGUUCAGGAGCCUUUGGAACUGCCUUGUGAGAAGAGUUUGGAAAGAUUAGGAGAUGCUGGCUGAAAAAGCAGUGCUGGAAUCUCUGAGGCUGUCCUUGAUGGGAGAUUUUGGUCAGAGCUCAGAAGACCAAAAAGCUGAUAGAAAUGGUGCUGGUAAGACAAGACAAGGGAGGUUUCUGUUGGGGAGAAGGACUGCCUUGGCUGUUGGACUCCAGAAUAUGUGUGUUAUACCUUGGCAGAAAGUUUGUCUGCAUUUUGCUCAUGUCCAGAGACUUUGCUUGAGGCUGAGAUUAAGGGCAGUAGACUAGUUAAUCUUGCAGAAGAAAUUCAAGACAGUCUAAUGUGGAGGCAGUAGCAUGGGUACUGUUGGGGGGUUUUAGCCAGAUCUGUGUUAAGAAUCAAGAGCAAAAAGCCCAGCAGAAUGAUUUAAAAUGUUUUGAGUUUUGCCAGAAAGGAAGCUCCAGUAAAGAUGAUCUGCAAAGAUGGAAGCAGAGGAGAACUCGUUUGCUGAGAAGGAAGAUGACAAUAGAAAAGACAGCCUGAGGACAUCACCAGAAACAGUAGGACUCCACCCUUUGCAGCCUCAAAAUUACAAAAGUGAAAGACUUCACUAUGAAAAGAGAACCCCUGAGCACCAUAUUGCAGAAUGGUGGCAGCCUAGGGAAGUUGUUCCUUGGGAUUUGGUUCAUAGGCCCUGGAGCUCUAUAGCCAAGAGAAAAGGAAGCCUGGCUACUGCUCUAGCUGGCAGCAGACCUUAGCAUCAUCCACAUGGUGCUGGGUUUAUGUGUAUGGAGAAUGCAAGAGUUGUGGGGUCAGGAAGACUUCCACCCAAAUUUGAGAAGAAGGUCUGGCAGGCCAGGCAGUGUGCCUCUGAGAAGGCAGUGUGUGAAGCUGUGAGCCUGAAGCUGAAGGUGCAGUGGAGACCCCAGAAGUUUGGAGUAGCCAGGAACUUGGAUUGUUUGAGGAAAACUGCAAGGAGGGAGCAGAGUGGGCCCAAGAGAGAAGCCAUGGGAACUACAAUCUCUGGCAGUACUAUAAGGGUGGACCCACCCAAGCCCUUUGGAGUUCACAUCUUGCCACACAUUGCUUUGGAUGCUAGACAUGGAACUACAGGACUUAAUAUUUGCCCUGCUGGAUUUUGGACUUGCAUUGUUCCCAUUCCUUUGUGUCCCCUUCUUUGUACCUUUUGGAAUGGAAAUGUCUAACUUGUACCAUUUAAUGUUGGAAGUGUUAAACUUUCUUUUCAUUUGUACAGGGGCUUGCAGCUAAGAGUGUGCCUUAAAGCUUAGAUGAGAUUUUGAACUUGGACUUUUCAACAGUGCUGAAACUGUUGGGACUUUAGCAACUCCUGGAGAUGGACUAAAUGCCUUUUGCAUAAAGGAAUGUACAUGAGUCUUUGGGGAGCCACUGGUGGAAUGUUAUGGCUUGUAUCUAGAUUACCCCCAAAACUUCAUGCAGUCAUAGGUGGGGCUUUUUGGAGGUGGCUGGAUCUAGGGUUUUUCCUGGUGGGAUCAAAGAUGUGAUGCUGGGAUUGAUUCACAGUGAGAUGCUAGGAUCAAGGGUGUGAGUAGCUACCUACCCUAAGGCUGGGUAGCCUGGGUAGCAUGUAAGGGACAGAAAGAGCUGUGGUCAUAGCUUGUCACGAGUCACUUGCUUGCUUUUGCUGUGUUUUACCUGCCAUGAACUGUUUCUCCUCUGCAAUUCCCCUCUGCCAUGCCACCCUGCCUUGGAGCUAGCCAUUCACGGGCUGAAACUUCUACAAACUGUGAGCUGAAAUAAACCUUUCCUCUUUUAACUUUUGGUGUUGAGUAUUUUGUUUCAGCAACAAGAAAAGUAACUAAGACAGCUAGCUCUUGCCAGCCUGGUCUGACAGCCUGGUUCCUGGCUGUGGCCUCAGAGCCUUCUGUGGAUGCUGCUGCUGCCUCUUUUGGAAGUCUUCUUGUGUACCUCUUUGAGCUGUUCUGGACAUGUUCAGCAAGGAGGCUACCUGCCCUGUCCAUCAUAAGAAAAUGUCUUAUGGAUCAAUCACCAGUGGAGGCAGCCUGGAGAGCUAUAGCCUUUUUUGAGGACCCUUAAGAGGGCCAGGUGUCACCCCUGAAGGUAGGAAGAUGGUGAAUCCAUCCCACUACCUGCCCCUGGACCAGGAAGGAUUUGGCUACUGGGCCUCACACCUGGAUGGCAGGACUCAUUGCUAUCUGGACCAAGAAGAGAAAGCCCAACUUCUGCCCACAGGAGACUGAAGUGGUAGUGUCCAAGGUCAGCAAGCCCAGUUGCUAUUCGGCACAGGACUGCUGAAGGCUGAGCCUAUCUGCAGGUCUCAGGUGUGGAGCCGAAUCCUUCAGGCUGUGAAUGUGCUGGGUUACUGUUGCUGCGACAUGGUUGACUUGAAGCACAAGUGUGCUGUUGUGUGACACAAACUGGGUACCUCUGGAAGGCAGCCGCUGGCUCUGCCCCAGGCUCUGGCAAACCACAGGCUCCAGCCCUCACACCUGUGGAGCAGACAGUGGCCAAGACCUUCUCCUGUCAGGCACUGUCCCUUGAGAGCUUCAGCCUAGAGCCACCCAGAGCCACCCAGGUUGAUGGUUGUGACUUCUGGAGCUGUGCCAGCAGACAUGAGCCAACAUCUCCUGAAUCAACUCCCAUGAGUGACUUGCUGGAUGUGAAUCAGCUCAUAGAAGACAGCCUCUGUGAUGUCAGAGCAAGAUGUCACGCUCCAGGGACAACCCUCCUUCUGCUGUCAGGGCAGUGCAUGCCCAUCGGGCAACCCCAGGGCUGAGAUGCAGAGGCAGCCAGAGAGCUCCUGGUGGGCACCAAGUAAGGCGUAUGAGGUACCUGUGGCCCAGAGCAACAGAGAAGACCUUGGAAGCAGCCCUGGCAUCUUGUCCUCCUUCAACAGAAGGGCCCCCUUCUUCAGAAAAUGUGCUGAAUAGGGGCAGAACCACUGUUUAUUUAACAAAUGAGGACUGUCCCUGGAGUCAGACUGAACUGGGUUCUAAUUCCAGCUUGGCCAGUAACUAGUUGUGAGUGACUUUGAGCAUGUUGUUUAUUUAUUGUGCAUCUCAUUUUCCUCUUUUGUAAAAUAUAAUACUAUUAAUGCUUCAUAUGUAAAGCACUGAGCACGAGCUGUUGACAGAAAAGGUGGUGGUAUUGGUGUUGGUGGUAAAGAUUAAAAUGUUGAUAGUAGUAGUGCUAGUUGUGGUUGUGGUGAUGGUAAUGGUGAUGGCGGAGUGAUGGUGGUGGUCACAGUGAUGUGGAGGUGAUGCUGAUAGUGUUUAUGGUGAUGAUGAUGAUGAUGGUGUUGGUAACUAUGGUGAUGAUAAAGGUGCUGAUGGUGGUGAUGAUUAUAGUAAUGGUAGUGAGCCCUCCAUAAUAGGCACUGUACAAAGCACUGGGUGAACUGAGACAAAUAAGCUGUAUCUGUCUUUGAGAUGCUCGUAUCUUAUCAAAGGCCUCCCUGGGUGGGGUCAGGGGUCCAGCUUUUCUCACUGCCCCAGAGGCAGCCACUGGAGACCUCUUCUCAGGAGCUGCUCUGUUCACAUUUGGUGACACUUUAGGCCUGCUUCCCCAAUUGGCCUCAAGCUCCUGUAGAUGGGCAUAGGCUAUAUUUCUAUACCAUCCUGGCAGUCAGCACAGGACUGAUCUCAAGGGGGGUGUCCAGGACACAACAAAGGGGCCAGUAUGGUUUUCUGGGCUUCUUCUGGGGCAGGACUGGGCAGUGCAUGGCAUGGGACACAGAGCUGGCACCAGGAACCACUGGAGUGUGGCACCAUUCUGCCAGAGGCUCUCCUUCCCUACUGCAUUCUAACCCAGCCUGUGCUCUGUGCAGUAGCCUGAAUUGCACCCACUUGGGAGGUGUGAGAAUGACAUGUGACAGGGCCUGGGACUUACCCUGAUGCAGCAGUUGGCUGAUGACAGGGCCAGAAUUAAAAUCUUGGUUUCACUAAGGCCACACUUUCCCCAUUGACCUCAAUACUUCUUACGAAGCUAGGAAGUCGAAGAAGGAAAGGGUGUUUUUCUGAAAGGCUGGUGGAGGGAAGGGGAAGCUCAGGGGAGGAUGUGCAAAGGCAGAAGAAGGUAUCCAACAGCAGCAGUCCUCAACCCAGCUUGCUGUGUACAGAGGGCCUCUGGGCCAGAGCUGUCUGAAAAUGUGGAAGUGUACCACUGUUUGUGGAGGCCCACUGGGUGUGGUACUCAGAGUGGUAGACUUAUGGCUGCAUCAGGUGCAGCAGGGGGCAGCUGGGAGGUUAGAGGAGGGAAGGCCUCCUUGCCAGGAAGCCCAGCCCCAUAGGGCAUUAGAGAAGCCAGCUAGCUGUAGCCUCCGGUGCCUGGAAAACACAGCCAAGCUCAGCUGGCCCAGGCUCUGGCUGCUGCAAACAGAUAUGGAUCAGUCUCAUUAAAAAGCCUUAGUAUGCUGCCAGACUGCACCUGGCAGGCUCCUGGGCCAGAGUGGGUGGCUCUCUGGUGGUUUCUGCAAGGGCAAAGGUGAAAAGGAAGCACAGAGUUUUAUAGCUCUCUAAAUGAAAAGCCAGAAAUCUCUGCAUGGAAUUGAUUUCUGUCUUCUGGAAAAGGCGGGGCAUCUGCAAUUGGCCCUACCAUCUCUGUCCAGUCUCAAGUCUGGAGGGGUCUGGAGGUGGGCAGCAGGAGCAGCCAAGAGUGGGGAAACCUGAGUAUCUUCAUACCCCCUGUCCUGCACUCUGAAGUCCAUGACAGCAAUGGGUGACCCCAUUUCCUCCGGCCCUCAGGAGAGACCUGGGUGACACCAUUGUCAUUACCACUUAGAGAAGAAGAGGUGGAGACUCAGAGGGGUCACUCAUGAUGCUGCAGUGCCCCCUAAGGCACAGAGCACAGAGGAGACUGCAGUGCCAUGGGGGCCACUGGGCCAAGCACAGUGCUGGUCCCUCCAGCCUGGGAAGUUGUGCCCAAGCACUAGCUAUGCCUUCCCUGCACUGGGGCAUUGCCCUACCGUGAUGGGACCAGUGAGGUAUGUGUGUGCCGCAUUGCACCACUUGUCACUCAGGAAAUAGUCUCCACUGUCCCCACUUUUGUGAUUGCUGCUGUCACUGAUGCUGUUCCUGGUGCUAAGUCAGGGGAGCUGUUGUACUGUAGUGCUGGAUGGGGCAGGUGCCCAGCCUGAGCAACUUCAGUGCCCUUUCUGCUCCACAUUAAGUCCAGUUCCUGCCUGGGCUGGAUGGCUCACCCAGUCCCCUCCCCAGUGUAUCCCCACAAGUGGGCUCUGUGGUCUGAGGCCCUUGUCUACCCUCUUGUGUACUGACUCGGAUGCCACCCUUCAGGAUGUGGGGAUGGGGCCAGGGAUAGGACAGGGGCUGGGCUUGUGCUCAGAUCUGUGGCUCUGUGUGUUCACCCUCCUGGGCAGGGCCUAAUGGAGAACAGAUGUGUCCUUACUGACUCACAUGUGUCCCUUGAGCUAGGCAGGGCAGGCAGGAAGGUGGCCAUUUUACAGAAGAAAUGGAGGAGGGAGGUUAGGUGAUCUGCCCCAGACACAGAGGAGCCAGGUAGAGACCAGGUACUAUGGUCACUGCUGUGGCCUGGUCACUGCUGCCCCGAGGAGAGAGGACAGCAGGCGAGUGGCAGUCCCUGUGAUAUUGUCUGGGCAAGGCCUCCAGGAAGUAACAAAGCUUAGUGUCUUGUUGAGGCCCGGUAGUGUUACUCACUUGCUGCCUGAUAUUUGUGGUUGGCCUUUCCUCACUCCCUCUACCAAGUUUGGGAGCAAGAAGUGAAACCUGCAAGUGCCUGUCAGAGGGCACAGCACUUCUCUGGAGCACUGGGACUAGCCAUGCCAACUCGAGCCUCAGGUUGGGGCAAGGACUCCAGCCUCAUUUACAGAUGAAGGAAAGAGGUCCAGAGAGGUUCAAUGACUUGGGCUGGUCAUACAGCAAAGGAGCGAGUCCUUUCCCCUCCCACUCCUACCAGUGCAUUAUUAAUCCAGGUCUGCUCAGGAGGGUGAUGCAGUGCCUGUUUACCUCUUGACAGCAGAAAGGGAAAACAAUAAAAUUAAACCAAACAAACUGCCCAGACAUCAAACAAACCCUCUCUCAAAGUGCGUGCUCUGCAGUCAGAGGAGCCAGUCCCAUCAGAGCCCUUGAAGAAAGGAAGAGCCACUGCUUUCACCGCCAGGUACCCAGAACUGGGCUGGCACCUCAGAAGGCAGAAGUGGUAGGCAGCACCACCCAGAGAUGCGCAGGAGCACUCACCCUCACUGGAAGCACUUUUGCUGCCUGGAGCUGCUUGUGGAACCUGCACUCCACAGCCUUUUCUCUGCACUUGCUUGUCCCUCCAAAUCAGGAAGAAUCAGCUCUCAUUUCUCCUUCAUGGCAUUUUUGAGAGUUGGAAUCUCCUGUUUCAGCCCUAACUGACAAAGUCCAAGCUCUAAGAGAAGUCCUAGGCCC